RNAcentral lists this ribosomal RNA (1487 nucleotides) under uncultured bacterium. Its description in RNAcentral is "bacterial SSU rRNA". It matches the Rfam family "Bacterial small subunit ribosomal RNA". The record is from RNAcentral.
AGAGUUUGAUCCUGGCUCAGGACGAACGCUGGCGGUGUGCUUAACACAUGCAAGUCGAACGAUGAAGCGGUGCUUGCACCGUGGAUUAGUGGCGAACGGGUGAGUAAUACGUGAGUGACCUACCUUUGACUCUGGGAUAAGCCUGGGAAACUGGGUCUAAUACCGGAUACGACCAAUCUCUGCAUGGGGUGUUGGUGGAAAGCGUUAUGGAGUGGUUUUAGAUGGGCUCACGGCCUAUCAGCUUGUUGGUGAGGUAAUGGCUUACCAAGGCGACGACGGGUAGCCGGCCUGAGAGGGUGACCGGCCACACUGGGACUGAGACACGGCCCAGACUCCUACGGGAGGCAGCAGUGGGGAAUAUUGCACAAUGGGCGCAAGCCUGAUGCAGCGACGCCGCGUGAGGGAUGACGGCCUUCGGGUUGUAAACCUCUGUUAGCAUCGAAGAAGCGAAAGUGACGGUAGGUGCAGAGAAAGCGCCGGCUAACUACGUGCCAGCAGCCGCGGUAAUACGUAGGGCGCGAGCGUUGUCCGGAAUUAUUGGGCGUAAAGAGCUUGUAGGCGGUUGGUCGCGUCUGCUGUGAAAGGCCGGGGCUUAACUCCGGUUUUGCAGUGGGUACGGGCUAACUAGAGUGCAGUAGGGGAGACUGGAAUUCCUGGUGUAGCGGUGGAAUGCACAGAUAUCAGGAGGAACACCGAUGGCGAAGGCAGGUCUCUGGGCUGUAACUGACGCUGAGAAGCGAAAGCAUGGGGAGCGAACAGGAUUAGAUACCCUGGUAGUCCAUGCCGUAAACGUUGGGCACUAGGUGUGGGGGGACAUUCCACGUUUUCCGCGCCGUAGCUAACGCAUUAAGUGCCCCGCCUGGGGAGUACGGCCGCAAGGCUAAAACUCAAAGGAAUUGACGGGGGCCCGCACAAGCGGCGGAGCAUGCGGAUUAAUUCGAUGCAACGCGAAGAACCUUACCAAGGCUUGACAUGCAUUAGAUCGCGUCAGAGAUGGCGUUUCCCUUCGGGGCUGGUGUACAGGUGGUGCAUGGUUGUCGUCAGCUCGUGUCGUGAGAUGUUGGGUUAAGUCCCGCAACGAGCGCAACCCUCGUUCUAUGUUGCCAGCGGUUCGGCCGGGGACUCAUAGGAGACUGCCGGGGUUAACUCGGAGGAAGGUGGGGAUGACGUCAAAUCAUCAUGCCCCUUAUGUCUUGGGCUUCACGCAUGCUACAAUGGCCGGUACAGAGGGUUGCGAUACUGUGAGGUGGAGCUAAUCCCUUAAAGCCGGUCUCAGUUCGGAUUGGGGUCUGCAACUCGACCCCAUGAAGUCGGAGUCGCUAGUAAUCGCAGAUCAGCAACGCUGCGGUGAAUACGUUCCCGGGCCUUGUACACACCGCCCGUCAAGUCACGAAAGUUGGUAACACCCGAAGCCGGUGGCCUAACCCUUGUGGGGGGAGCCGUCGAAGGUGGGACUGGCGAUUGGGACUAAGUCGUAACAAGGUAAC